GGUUUGAUUAUGGCUCGUGAUUUUGAACGCUGGCGGGAUGCUUUACACACGUAAGUCGAACGGCAGCACGGACUUCGGUCUGGUGGCGAGUGGCGAACGGGUGAGUAAUGUAUCGGAACGUGCCUAGUAGCGGGGAUAACUACGCGAAAGGUAGCUGAAUACCGCGAAGCUACCUUCGGGGAAAGCGGGGACCUCCGGGCCUCGCACUAUUAGAGCGGCCGAUAUCGGAUUAGUUAGGUUGGUGUAGCAGUUCCGGUCACUGGAAGGCGACGAUCCGUAGCUGGUUUGAGAGGACGUGACCAGCCACACUGGGACUGAGACACGGCCCAGACUCCCACGUGGAGGCAGCAGUGUGGGGAAUUUGACAAUGGGGAAACCCCGAUCCAGCCAUCCGCGUGUGCGAUGAAGGCCUUCGGGUUGUGGAAAGACUUUUUGGUAGUAGCAAAACGGCACGAUACACCGUGCAACUGACGGUACCUGCAGAAUAAGCACCGGCUAACUACGUGCCAGCAGCCAGCGCGGUAAUACGCAGGGCGUUGUUGGGAAUCGGAAUUACUGGGCGUAAAAGCGCGCAGGCGGUUCGGAAAGAAAGAUGUGAAAUCCCAGAGCUUAACUUUGAAUCCGUACUAAACCAAUGAGCUAGAGUGUGUCAGAGGGAGGUGGAAUUCCGCGUGUAGCAGUGAAAUGCGUAGAUAUGCGGAGGAACACCGAUGGCGGCUGCAGCCUCCUGGGAUAACACGACGCUCAUGCACGAAAGCGUGGGAGCAAACAGGAUUAGAUACCCUGGUAGUCCACGCCCUAAACGAUGUCAACUAGCUGUUGGGGCCUGGCCUAUAGCGCACACGCGUGAAGUUGACCGCCUGUGAGUACGGUCGCAAGAUUAAAACUCAAAGGAAUUGGACGGGGACUCGCACAAGGGUGGAUGAUGUAGAUUAAUUCGAUGCAACGCGAAAAACCUUACCUACCCUUGACAUGUCUGGAAUCCCGAAGAGAUUUGGGAGUGCUCGCAAGAGAACCGGAACACAGGUGCUGCAUGGCUGUCGUCAGCUCGUGUCGUGAGAUGUUGGGUUAAGUCCGCAACGAGCGCAACCCUUGUCAUUAGUUGCUACGAAAGGGCACUCUAAUGACUGCCGGUGACAAACCGGAGGAAGGUGGGGAUGACGUCAAGUCCUCAUGGCCCUUAUGGUAGGGCUUCACACGUCAUACAAUGGCUGGGACAGAGGGUCGCCAACCCGCGAGGGGGAGCCAAUCCCAGAAACCCGAUCGUAGUCCGGAUCGCAGUCUGCAACUCGACUGCGUGAAGUCGGAAUCGCCAGUAAUCGCGGAUCAGCAUGUCGCGGUGAAUACAGUUCCCGGCUCCUAUACACACUGCCCGUCACACCAUGGAGUGGGCUCUACCAGAAGUAGUUAGCCUAACCGUAAGGAGGGCGAUUACCACGGUAGGAUUCAUGAUCGGGGUGAAGUCGUAACAAGGUAA
This 1477-nucleotide ribosomal RNA is filed under the name uncultured Bordetella sp. RNAcentral describes it as "partial 16S-23S ribosomal RNA intergenic spacer". It matches the Rfam family "Bacterial small subunit ribosomal RNA". Lineage: Bacteria; Pseudomonadati; Pseudomonadota; Betaproteobacteria; Burkholderiales; Alcaligenaceae. The record is from RNAcentral.